GUAGGUGGCAAGCGUUGUCCGGAAUUAUUGGGCGUAAAGCGCGCGCAGGCGGUUCUUUAAGUCUGAUGUGAAAGCCCACGGCUCAACCGUGGAGGGUCAUUGGAAACUGGAGAACUUGAGUACAGAAGAGGAAAGCGGAAUUCCACGUGUAGCGGUGAAAUGCGUAGAGAUGUGGAGGAACACCAGUGGCGAAGGCGGCUUUCUGGUCUGUAACUGACGCUGAGGCGCGAAAGCGUGGGGUAGCAAACAGGGAUUAGAUACCCUGGUAGUCCACGCCGUAAACGAUGAGUGCUAAGUGUUAGGGGGUUUCCGCCCCCUUAGUGCUGCAGCUAACGCAUUAAGCACUCCGCCUGGGGAGUACGGCCGCAAGGCUG
This 374-nucleotide ribosomal RNA is filed under the name uncultured organism. Its description in RNAcentral is "partial 16S ribosomal RNA". It matches the Rfam family "Bacterial small subunit ribosomal RNA", at positions 527 to 896 of the family's 1533-position model. The record is from RNAcentral.